Molecule: long non-coding RNA, 779 nt
Organism: Lolium perenne
Lineage: Eukaryota; Viridiplantae; Streptophyta; Magnoliopsida; Poales; Poaceae
Source: RefSeq, a predicted model, not a curated record
AACUCCAGCCUCUAUACGUGAACGACACGGAGAAGUAAUCCGCGAAAAUCUCAACGAUUUUGUUAGCGUUUGCCACGGAUUUUUCGACCUAUAAAUACCCCCAAAUCUUCUCUAUUUUAUUCCCCUAAAAUCCCCAAUUUUUGCGCCGCCAGGCUGCGCAAAUUUCUCGCCGGAGUUCGCGGCGGCGCCGCCGCCAUCGCUGAGCUUCGAAGACCACUAAGAAGCCGGAAAUUGUCGUCGGAGUUGUGCUGAAGACAAGAACGAUCAGCAGAGUGUGCCGCCCGGUGUUGUCGUCGUCCCGUCGUAGCCGUCGUUCAGGAUCGCGAGAACCGUCGCCAAGAACACCGCCGGUACUGCCAGUGUCCGCCGCAUCGCUCAGACCACGUCACCGCCGUUGCAAAUCAUCCGGAGACGCCCGCCCGAGCCAUCACCUUGCCGCGUCUGUGCCACAAUUGCCCGGAUUGCAACGAGUGUGAUUGCGACGAUUGUGUGAACACCGACCAAGGCAAGUGUCACAAACUCAAUAUCCUACUAUUUUCUAUGCAUUGGUAGUUGUUUUAUGUGCAUACUAUUUUCAAAUUGCUGGCCCUGGGAUAUUAUCAAAGUGGAGAGGUUGCGAGAGAUAAAUGUUUUAUUCUCUUAAUGAAAACAACCAUGUCAAAUUAAUACACCCCUGGGUGGUAAGUGGUAAUGCUUGGUUUAUGUUGAGUGGUUGCACCGGGGUCAUUUCUAUGGCAGCACCGUGUGCAUCACACUUGAGGUUGGCCACCCAGGAACAA